GAGUUCUACCACCUUUUAGAAGCAGCUGAGGGCCACGCCAAAGAGGGACAAGGGAUUAAAUGUGACAUUCCCCGCUACAUCGUUAGCCAGCUGGGCCUCACACGGGAUCCCCUAGAGGAAAUGGCCCAGUUGAGCAGCUGUGACAGUCCUGACACUCCAGAGACAGAUGAUUCUAUUGAGGGCCGUGGGACAUCUCUGCCAUCUAAAAAGACACCCUCUGAAGAGGACUUCGAGACCAUUAAGCUCAUCAGCAAUGGCGCCUAUGGGGCUGUAUUCCUGGUGCGGCACAAGUCCACCCGGCAGCGCUUUGCCAUGAAGAAGAUCAACAAGCAGAACCUGAUCCUACGGAACCAGAUCCAGCAGGCCUUCGUGGAGCGUGACAUACUGACUUUCGCUGAGAACCCCUUUGUGGUCAGCAUGUUCUGCUCCUUUGAGACCAAGCGCCACUUGUGCAUGGUGAUGGAGUACGUUGAAGGUACUGAGGCAAAGGUGGCCUGGCAUGGAGGCCAAGGCACAAUCUGAGACUUAGCCUUAAACAGGGACCAGCAGCUUUGUACAGAGGUGAAGUUUCAGGGCCCAGCUUUCCAGUCCACCUUUGGCAUUGGUUUCUGCCUCAGGAUCACAGAGACCAUUUGGCCACAGUGGGCACAAAGCUCCCUGCCUCUACCAUGAGAGGCAUUCUGGGAUAGGAUGUAGCAGGCCAGCAGCUAUAGAAUCUUGCACCCCAAAGUCUGCAUGCUUUCUACUGCUGGUAUCAGACAGCAACAGAGGAGGCAGCAGAGCUGCAAAAGCCCAGGAUUGGGUGCUAGGAGGAUUGCAUCCGGACCCUCAGAAGAAAGGAAAGCCAUUAAUUAUCCUG
This 859-nucleotide small RNA is filed under the name Pongo abelii (Sumatran orangutan). RNAcentral describes it as "processed transcript". The record is from RNAcentral. Lineage: Eukaryota; Metazoa; Chordata; Mammalia; Primates; Hominidae.